RNAcentral lists this long non-coding RNA (331 nucleotides) under Mytilus galloprovincialis (Mediterranean mussel). Lineage: Eukaryota; Metazoa; Mollusca; Bivalvia; Mytilida; Mytilidae. The record is from RNAcentral.
CACACUACACAGGGAUAUCCUUUAUUCAUUAUAAAAAAUCAUUCACAGUAUUUGUAUACUAAUUUAAAAUCGGUAUUUGUUUAAUAUAAACCUAAUGAUGUUUGCUGUAGUGUAGAUGAUUCACACACCAGCAUGCAAUGCUUUAAUCUGAGGCUAUAGGUAAUUUGUAGGUCAACUUUCGCGGUAAACAAUGUCAAUGGGGAUACAUGAGAAUGGGGAAAGAAACGGCAGUUUUAAUUCUUUCUGUAAAGUUCUGUUUUUAGAAUCUGCCUCCAAUUUAGAAUUUGCAAAUAUAUCAAAAUGUGGGAUCUGGAAACAAACUGCACACAGC